Long non-coding RNA from Felis catus (domestic cat), 2025 nucleotides. RefSeq lists it as uncharacterized. The record is from RefSeq and is a predicted model, not a curated record. Lineage: Eukaryota; Metazoa; Chordata; Mammalia; Carnivora; Felidae. The transcript has 4 exons.
ACGUCCAAUGGAGGUGAGGAGCUCCAAGCUGCAUGGCGCUCCCGCCCUGCCUCCUGCCGCCCCGACUGCCCUAGUGAACGGGUCCCGGAGCCUGCAAAGACGGCCAGGAGAGCUAUUAAACCAACCAUGCAAAUUAUUAAGGCCCCACAGACUCAGGAGGAGAAAGAAACUAGACAACGUUUAGUCACAUCAUUCAAGGCUAUCCUUUCCAAGGACAUCUAAACCCUAUUCCUCGUCCACACCACUGUCCUUCCUUGGAAAAUUUUGACGGGCCUCUGAUCACUUCCCUCCCUGGAGAAUUCCAACUGUUGGUUAACAGAAAAACCCACUGACCGCUCAGGAUCUUUCCCCACGGUGGCUUCUCCCUCUGGGGCGCCCUUCCACGUUCCCCUCUUCCUCCAUUCUCCACUGUCUGCAUCAAAUCUGUCCCUUACAUCCCACUUGAAGGCACUAUGUUCAUGGACCUCCCCUCGAUUGCCUCUGCUUGCAAUAUUCUCUCCUAGAAUGUCCACAGCAUUGUACCCCUGACGGUAGAUUCCUUUCUUCCUUGGGAUCACAGUGGUUUGUGUCCUACUUCCCAGCUGAGAGGGCUUUAAGGGCAGCCACCACAGCCCAUUCAUUUCACGUCUGCAUCCCCACAGGACCAUCCUAUCUCAGGUGCUCAGUAAUUACUUAUCAGCUUGGAGAAUGCUCUGGGGCAUGACUCUGAAGGAACAGGAGUGAAAGCAAGUCAUGAUGGGAUUAAAGGAAUUAGGAACAUUUCAGAGGAAGGCCUCCCUGUGUGAAAGGCAACAUGGAAGGGAUCUUCAAGCAGCCCUCCUGCUGCCCCUGGGCCCUGAAAGAGCUUCCAGGAACCCGCCCCCAGUUCAGUUAUCAGGCGAUGGUCCUAAUCUGUAUGCAUUUUUAUUUUAUGCAAACAAAAUUAGAUUCAAACAAAGACUCUUAAUUAACAAAUUAAAGCUGCACCAUGCAUUUUUUUUUUUUCUGCACCAUGCACUUCUUGCUCCAAAAAUCCCAUCUAUUCAAAGGCUAGAAACAAAAUUCCUAACAGCCAUGCAGCAAAUGAAUGUAGUUAGGGAAACAGGACUGGGUACCACAGUUGUCCUAAUCCUGGAACACCUGUUUAAAUAACAAGUCGUGCCUGAGGCAUUCAGAACAACCUGCUAAUACUAACUCAGCACCCAACACCAAACUCCUUGUGGUCGCCAGUGUUAAGUACUACUGUCUGCAUUUUUUCAGGUAGAGAAGCAAGGGCAUUCACAAGUGAUUUUUCAAAACCCCAAAGGAAGACAAUUUAGAUGGAGACUGAAUAUCCAAACCUCCCAACCAGUCAGCUCAUCACUCCAUCUGCAAAUGUGUUUUAACCAAAUCUGAGAAAAACUGAGAAAAACUGCUGUUUCUAUAAGGGAUUUCAUAAGGAAAAGAAUAAAGGCAGGGCUGGAGCAGAAUCCAUUUAACCCAUCAUUCAAAGCAACAACCUUGCCACAUUUCCACGUUUCAACACACACACACACACACACACACACACAAGUCAGAGUUCAAUGGUCAUUCUUUUUUUUUUUGUUUUAACUCCACAGUAUUUAUUUAGUGCCAGAGACAUUGUGAAGGAGAGAUAGACCAACUGCUAGAUAAGGGUCAUGACUUUAAGGGGUGCCAAGGGCAGAGGGAACCAACACCUGCAGAGGACAGUGGGCCUUCUCUGGCCCAAAGGAGGGGUGGUGUUUGGAUUGGCACAGAGAGAUAGGGAUGGAGGGGCAGGUCCGGCCUGAGGGGCACACAGUCCUGGUUUGUUGGUGAUUCGAUUAAAAGCUUGGACAAGUUGGGCUGGGAAGCUGCAGUCCAACAGGUGAUACCGAGUAGCAAUUCACACUCAUUAGGCCAAGAAAAGAGCAACAAUGCCUCUGCUUCAGUGUGAGGGGAGGAGCUGCACUCCUCCAAGUCUAGGUCUGAAUGUACACACUGCCACUGACCUGAAUUUAACCCCCUAGAACCUGAGAGUGGUAGCUAGGAGAGAUGGGGAACUUC